CGGCAUGCCUUACACAUGCAAGUCGAACGGCAGCACGGGUGCUUGCACCUGGUGGCGAGUGGCGAACGGGUGAGUAAUAUAUCGGAACGUACCCUAGAGUGGGGGAUAACGCAGCGAAAGUUGCGCUAAUACCGCAUACGAUCUACGGAUGAAAGUGGGGGAUCGCAAGACCUCAUGCUCAUGGAGCGGCCGAUAUCUGAUUAGCUAGUUGGUGGGGUAAAAGCCUACCAAGGCAUCGAUCAGUAGCUGGUCUGAGAGGACGACCAGCCACACUGGAACUGAGACACGGUCCAGACUCCUACGGGAGGCAGCAGUGGGGAAUUUUGGACAAUGGGCGCAAGCCUGAUCCAGCAAUGCCGCGUGAGUGAAGAAGGCCUUCGGGUUGUAAAGCUCUUUUGUCAGGGAAGAAACGGUGAGGGCUAAUAUCCUUUGCUAAUGACGGUACCUGAAGAAUAAGCACCGGCUAACUACGUGCCAGCAGCCGCGGUAAUACGUAGGGUGCAAGCGUUAAUCGGAAUUACUGGGCGUAAAGCGUGCGCAGGCGGUUAUGUAAGUCAGAUGUGAAAUCCCCGGGCUCAACCUGGGAAUGGCAUUUGAGACUGCAUGGCUAGAGUGUGUCAGAGGGGGGUAGAAUUCCACGUGUAGCAGUGAAAUGCGUAGAGAUGUGGAGGAAUACCGAUGGCGAAGGCAGCCCCCUGGGAUAACACUGACGCUCAUGCACGAAAGCGUGGGGAGCAAACAGGAUUAGAUACCCUGGUAGUCCACGCCCUAAACGAUGUCUACUAGUUGUCGGGACUUAAUUGUCUUGGUAACGCAGCUAACGCGUGAAGUAGACCGCCUGGGGAGUACGGUCGCAAGAUUAAAACUCAAAGGAAUUGACGGGGACCCGCACAAGCGGUGGAUGAUGUGGAUUAAUUCGAUGCAACGCGAAAAACCUUACCUACCCUUGACAUGUACGGAACCUCUGAGAGAUUAGAGGGUGCUCGAAAGAGAGCCGUAACACAGGUGCUGCAUGGCUGUCGUCAGCUCGUGUCGUGAGAUGUUGGGUUAAGUCCCGCAACGAGCGCAACCCUUGUCAUUAGUUGCUACGAAAGGGCACUCUAAUGAGACUGCCGGUGACAAGCCGGAGGAAGGUGGGGAUGACGUCAAGUCCUCAUGGCCCUUAUGGGUAGGGCUUCACACGUCAUACAAUGGUACAUACAGAGGGCCGCCAACCCGCGAGGGGGAGCUAAUCCCAGAAAGUGUAUCGUAGUCCGGAUUGUAGUCUGCAACUCGACUACAUGAAGUUGGAAUCGCUAGUAAUCGCGGAUCAGCAUGUCGCGGUGAAUACGUUCCCGGGUCUUGUACACACCGCCCGUCACACCAUGGGAGCGGGUUUCACCAGAAGUAGGUAGCCUAACCGCAAGGAGGGCGCUUACCACGGUGG
This 1426-nucleotide ribosomal RNA is filed under the name ultramicrobacterium str. Um1. Its description in RNAcentral is "16S ribosomal RNA". It matches the Rfam family "Bacterial small subunit ribosomal RNA". The record is from RNAcentral. Lineage: Bacteria; Pseudomonadati; Pseudomonadota; Betaproteobacteria.